AUUGAACGCUGGCGGAAUGCUUUACACAUGCAAGUCGAACGGUAGAGGGGGCAACCCCUCGAGAGUGGCGAACGGGUGAGUAAUAUAUCGGAACGUGCCCAGUCGUGGGGGAUAACGUAGCGAAAGUUACGCUAAUACCGCAUACGAUCUAAGGAUGAAAGCGGGGGAUCGCAAGACCUCGCGCGAUUGGAGCGGCCGAUAUCAGAUUAGGUAGUUGGUGGGGUAAAGGCUCACCAAGCCAACGAUCUGUAGCUGGUCUGAGAGGACGACCAGCCACACUGGAACUGAGACACGGUCCAGACUCCUACGGGAGGCAGCAGUGGGGAAUUUUGGACAAUGGACGCAAGUCUGAUCCAGCCAUUCCGCGUGCAGGAUGAAGGCCCUCGGGUUGUAAACUGCUUUUGUACGGAACGAAAAGGUUUCUCUUAAUACGGGGGGCUCAUGACGGUACCGUAAGAAUAAGCACCGGCUAACUACGUGCCAGCCGCUGCAGUAA
This 496-nucleotide ribosomal RNA is filed under the name uncultured bacterium. RNAcentral describes it as "partial 16S ribosomal RNA". It matches the Rfam family "Bacterial small subunit ribosomal RNA", at positions 30 to 523 of the family's 1533-position model. The record is from RNAcentral.